Molecule: ribosomal RNA, 495 nt
Filed under: uncultured bacterium
Lineage: Bacteria
Description: partial 16S ribosomal RNA
Rfam family: Bacterial small subunit ribosomal RNA
Source: RNAcentral
GACGAACGCUGGCGGCGUGCCUAAUACAUGCAAGUAGAACGCUGAAGGAGGCGCUUGCUUCUCUGGAUGAGUUGCGAACGGGUGAGUAACGCGUAGGUAACCUGCCUGGUAGCGGGGGAUAACUAUUGGAAACGAUAGCUAAUACCGCAUAAUAGUAGAUGUUGCAUGACAUUUGCUUAAAAGGUGCAAUUGCAUCACUACCAGAUGGACCUGCGUUGUAUUAGCUAGUUGGUGGGGUAACGGCUCACCAAGGCGACGAUACAUAGCCGACCUGAGAGGGUGAUCGGCCACACUGGGAAUGAGAAACGGCCCAGACUCCUACGGGGAGCAGCAGUAGGGGAACUUCGGCAAUGGACGGAAGUCUGACCGAGCAACGCCGCGUGAGAGGAGAAGGUUUUCGGAUCGUAAAACUCUGUUGUAAGAGAAGAAAGGGUGUGAGAGUAGAAAGUUCACACAGUGACGGUAUCUGAACAGAAAGGGACGGCUAACUACGUG